RNAcentral lists this ribosomal RNA (465 nucleotides) under uncultured bacterium. RNAcentral's name for it is "partial 16S ribosomal RNA". It matches the Rfam family "Bacterial small subunit ribosomal RNA", at positions 28 to 507 of the family's 1533-position model. The record is from RNAcentral.
GACGAACGCUGGCGGCGUGCUUAACACAUGCAAGUCGAACGGUAAGGCCCCUUCGGGGGUACACGAGUGGCGAACGGGUGAGUAACACGUGAGCAACCUGCCCUUGACUCUGGAAUAACAGUUGGAAACAGCUGCUAAUACUGGAUAUUCAUCGUCUCCUUCCUGGGGGGUGGUGGAAAGCUCCGGCGGUCAGGGAUGGGCUCGCGGCCUAUCAGCUUGUUGGUGAGGUAAUGGCUCACCGAGGCUUCGACGGGUAGCCGGCCUGAGAGGGCGACCGGCCACACUGGGACUGAGAUACGGCCCAGACUCCUACGGGAGGCAGCAGUGGGGAAUAUUGCACAAUGGGCGCAAGCCUGAUGCAGCAACGCCGCGUGCGGGAUGACGGCCUUCGGGUUGUAAACCGCUUUCAGUAGGGACGAAGGGUGACUGACGGUACCUACAGAAGAAGGACCGGCUAACUACGUG